Molecule: ribosomal RNA, 488 nt
Filed under: uncultured Sphingobacteriales bacterium
Lineage: Bacteria; Pseudomonadati; Bacteroidota; Sphingobacteriia; Sphingobacteriales
Description: bacterial SSU rRNA
Rfam family: Bacterial small subunit ribosomal RNA
Source: RNAcentral
CCCGCUCAGAACUACAAAGAUGACGGGGCCCGCACAAGCGGUGGAGCAUGUGGUUUAAUUCGAUGAUAUGCGAGGAACCUUACCUGGGCUCAAAUGUAUGUUGACGUAUUCUGAAAGGGAUACUUCUUCGGACAAUAUACAAGGUGCUGCAUGGUUGUCGUCAGCUCGUGCCGUGAGGUGUCGGGUUAAGUCCCAUAACGAGCGCAACCCCUAUCAUUAGUUGCCAUCAGGUCAAGCUGGGGACUCUAAUGAAACUGCCUACGCAAGUAGUGAGGAAGGUGGGGAUGACGUCAAAUCAGCACGGCCCUUACGUCCAGGGCUACACACGUGCUACAAUGGCCGAUACAGAGGGCAGCUACCUGGUGACAGGAUGCAAAUCUCCAAAGUCGGUCUCAGUUCGGAUCGGAGUCUGCAACCCGACUCCGUGAAGUUGGAUUCGCUAGUAAUCGCGCAUCAGCCAUGGCGCGGUGAAUACGUUCCCGGGCCUU